Long non-coding RNA from Dunckerocampus dactyliophorus (ringed pipefish), 5352 nucleotides. RefSeq lists it as uncharacterized. The record is from RefSeq and is a predicted model, not a curated record. The transcript has 3 exons. Lineage: Eukaryota; Metazoa; Chordata; Actinopteri; Syngnathiformes; Syngnathidae.
UUUGUGACAUUUUAAGAGGGCGGAAACGGCCGCCAUAAACGACGGCUGCACAAAUCACCAAGAUGACAUUUUAAUUAUGCAGUUAUGCUGCUUUAGUCACAACUAAGAGCGUCACAGGAGCUGCGGAGGAAGAAAAAGAUGGCAGGUGGGCGGCAAACGAAGGACGCAUCGACAUCAGCCAAGUGGGGACGGCACAGAUGGGAGCAGAUAGGAACAGAAAAAUGGGGAAAUAAAAAAUAAAAAUCCCCUUCAUCACCAGCCUGGACCCUCUCAGGCAGGAACAAACAAACCAACCCCAAUGAAGAUGCCGCCCGAGCUUCCCACUUGCGUGGGCCGCCCGAGGGAGGGGUGCGUUUGAUUUGUACUUCUGUGAAGAGCCGUCAGGCUCACAAUCAGCGAGGAAGAUGAGGGAUGGCGUUUAAGAAGAAGAAGAACAUGAGGAGGGAGUUUACACCCACCACCUAAAAAGAUGAGAUGAUUGUGUGUGUGUGUGUGUGUGUGUGUGUGUGUGUGUGUGUGUGUGUGUGUGGUAGCUCAGCAUCCUGUCGAGCAUCCGUCAAGAGACCACCAUGAGCCCACACAGCCGUCUCUCGUCGUCUGCUGAACAGGUGCACUUCCUGCACAUCUCCUGGUGGGCAGUCCCUGGAUGGGUUGGAGGCUCGUCCACUGAGCAACACACACACCCCACCCCUCCCCUCUUCUCCCGCUUGUGAGUCAGUCGUCACUGAUCACAAAAUAAAAAAUCCCUGCCCUACAAAACCCAUCCGCCCACGCCCGGUCCUGCCUUUGCACUCGUCGGUUUUGUAACAUCGACCGCUGCUGACGCACCUAAAAACUAUGGCGCAUUUUCCCGAAAUGGCACGUUGUGCCUUUUCGUGAGCGUGUUCCUUUGCCGCUUCCACGACACAGCCGCUUCAAGCUUGGUCCAUGUUGAAGUACUACUAUUUCAACUACUACUUCGGUCUGCUACUAAGACCGGCUGGAGGUGUGGGGCAAAGAUGUGAAAACUAAAUGAUUUUGGUCCAGAUCCGAAUAAAGGUGCAUUUAACAUCACAUUCAAUUCCCAGUAAAUAAAGCAUAAGGUGUGCAGUGUUUCCUAUACAUUCAUUGGGCCCUCUUGAAAAUGCCAUUGUAUGUUUUAUUAUACACUCAGAUCAACAUUUUAAGAAAAUUUGCAAGAAUUUAAGUUUUGCACUGUUGGAUCUUAAGGAGGUUCUAAGUAGAGCUUCAAAAUGCAAAAAGAAGAAAAGAGAAUGAGACAAAAAAAAGUUGAAGUUAGCAAUUUAUUGUAAAGAAGCAUUAAAGUGAAAUAGGCUGUUCAUCAAAGUUGAACAGCACAGCCUUUAAAAGGCAAAAUGUUGGCAAAAAUGAGGAUCGUAUGUGAUUUAGUGUGAGGUACAUGAUCUCAUGAUGGCAAAGGCAAAAAAAGCUUUCUCUUUGAACACGGUGGGAUUGUUGAGCUGCAUAAGCAAGGCUUCUUGCAGCGCUCCAUUGCUGCUGAGGUUGGACGCAGUACGACAGUCAUUUGAAACUUCUUCAAACAUCCUGAGGCUCAUGGAACAAGAAAGUCAAGUGGUACACCCGAAAAAAUGUCACCGACCCUGAGCCGGAGGAUCCCAUUGGCUGUCCGUCAAGACACGGGACCAUCCCCGGCCCAAAUGAAGGUUGUUACUGGUGCUGAGUGCAGCCCGAUAACCAUCAGACGCCUUCUGCCAGAGAACGCUUUUAUGAAGGAAAAAAGCUCUUCAAAGGCUUCAUCUCAGAGCACCAAACAUGAGACAUUGAAAGGUGGAAGAAAGUUUUAUUUUCCCUUGACGGUCCUGAUGGCUGAUGGCGGGCCGCACGGUGGUCUAGUGGUUAGCACGUUGGCCGACACAGUAACAGCCUGGAGAUCGGGAAGACCUGGGUUCGAUUCUCCCUUUGGCAUUUCUGUGUGGAGUUUGCAUGUUCUCUGUGCGCGUGGGUUUUCUCCAGGUACUCCGGUUUCUUCUCACAUUCCAAAAACUUGCAGGUGAGGUUAAUUGGUGACUCUAAAUUGUCCAUAGGUGUGAAUGUGAGUGUGAAUGGUUGUUUGUCUAUAUGUGCCCUGCCAUUGGCUGGUAACCAGUCCAGGGUGUACCCCACCUGUCACCCGAAGUCAACUGGGAUAGGCUCCCGCGACCCUAAUGAGGAGAAGUGGUAUAGAAAAUGGAUGGAUGGAUGGUCUUGAUGGCUUCCAACGUUACUGGCAUGACAAGGAGAUCCCACCUGAGAUGUUUCCCACACGGCACAGUGGAGGGGGUGCCAUCACGAUCCGUCAAUGGAACAAUGGAGCUUCAGGUUGUGCACGGCUAUGUGGAGAUGUUGCAGGGGGCAUCCCUCAUGACUGAAGGCCCUCGUCUGUGUGGUAAUGACUGACUUUUUCAACAGGACAACGCUGCACAUAAGGACCUCUUCCAGAGGAGUAAGCUCACUCUUUUGUACCAUCUUGAAUGUUCCCCUCAUCUGAAUCCAAUGGAGAACAUUUGGGGAUGGAUGGCAAGGGAAGUUUCUAAAAAUGGACAUCAGUUUCAGACAGUGGAUGCCCUCCAUGAAGCCAUCUUCACCACCUGGAGCAACAUUCCCACUAGCCUCCUGGAAACACUGGCAUCAAGGAUGCCCAAACCCAUUUUUCAGCUCAUUAACAAGAAUGGCACAGCUACUCGUUACUCACUCCUUUUUUCAACAUUUUAUAUUUUUAAAUGUUUGGGUUUUUUUAAGCCAUGGUCUUAAACUUUUGAUCAGCUGAUGAACAGACAAUUUCACGUUAAUGCUUGAUUGCGAGAAAUUUUUGUCUCACUCCCAUUUAUUCUUUUUGCAUUUUGAAGCUCUACUCACAACUUCAGUUGUGCAACAGUGCAACAUGUACAUUUUUGUAAUUUUUCAACUGAUCUUAAAAUUUUAUCAGGAGUGUGUAUUGUCAGUGGCUUUUCUUGCAAUUUGGAGGGCCUUAAAAUGCACAAAAGCUCACCAAAAUUUGCAAGCACGUCAGAUUUGGAUGAAAAACUUGAUAUUUCAGAGGUCCCAAAUGCAAACCCCCAAAACUCACUCAGUAGUGCCCCUGCCACCACUUUCACAGAACGUCACAAAAUUUGCUGGUGACGUCAAUCAUGACAGGACACAUUAAAAAAAAGUCUGAAAAACCCAUGUUCCAAAACCAACAGGAAGUCGGCCAUUUUGGUUUCCGGUGGCAAUUUUGGAUGAAAACCAGGGGAUGUAUUUCAACAAACUAGUCCUCGGGACUUCGGCCAAAUGAGCCCAAAUGGGGUGGGGCAUGGCAACAAACUUUGAUGAUCAAUCAGACAAUUCGCCACUAAAGUGUAAAUAAUAAUAACUCAAUUCCACAAGGUCAGAUCUUCAUAUUAAUUUGUACAUACGAAGACGACACCUUGAAGCUAUGCCUAGAUCACUUCCUGAAUUCGUCUCAGCGCCACCCAGUGGCAAAAGCCCUCCAAAAAGCACCCCCACACUGGGUUGUGUGGGGGUGCGAGGGCCCAUUCAGCGUUGCUCGCAGCAUUCAUUUAUUUGUAUUCUUUAUUGUAUUAUUUUUAUAUUUCUAUUAUUAUAUAUAUUUCUAUUAUUUUCUUUUCUUUUUUGGGGGGGCUCAAAACACAGACAUACCUGGUCUGCCAGAGAAGAAGAAGAUGGAACAGGAGGGAUCAGUGUUGCCAAAUAUUUAGCGAAUUAUCAGACCCCUCCCUUAAUUUGCUUUGCUUUUUGUUAACGUGUUUUGCAAUUCUUGGCCACCACAGUUAAUACAUAAAGUGGUUUGAAAAAGUGUUUGCCCCCUUCCUGAUUUUGUGUUUGUUUGUGCGUGUUUGUCACACUUAAAUGUUUCAGAUCAUCAAACAAAUGUAAAUAUUAGUUAAUGACAACACAACUGAACACAACAUUUUUUAAUGAUUUGUUUUAUUAUUAAGGGAGAAAAAAAAUCCAAAGCUACAUGGUCCUGUGCGAAAUAGUGAUUACCCCCUAAACCUAAUAAGUGGUUGGGCUGCAACUGCAACUGCAAUCAAGCAUUUGCUUGUGACUUGUGACGUGUGACAGACAUGCAAAAAAAUAAGAAAUCAGGAAGGCGGCAAACACUUUUUCACGCCACUGUAUAAAACUAAUUGUGUCCUGUCAUUUAUUUUCCAUUCAUAACAAACAGCGGAAAUGGGCAUAUUUCACACAUUGUGGCAAAGAGUGAUUAAUCAUGAUUAAUUAAUUUGAAAACUGAUUAAUUUGAUUAAAAUUGGUAAUCAUUUGCCAGCCCUAAUGAAAACUCAACGAAGCACUCGCACACGCCGCACGCAACACACGCACACACUCAUAGCACUUUAUUUAUUUAUUUAUUUGUAUUAUUUACUUGUAUUAAUGUCUCGUCUGUUGUUGUUGCUUAAUUUAUUGGUAUAUAUGUUUAUGUGUUUAUGUUUCUUAUGUUCUUAUUCUUUCAUUUGUUUUCUUUCUUUUCUUGGGAGAAUGAACAGAAUAAGAUUUUCAUUGCAUGGUAUAACUGCUGUUUUACCAUGCACAUGACAAUAAAACUCUCUUGAAUCUUGAAUCUUGAGAUUGGAAGAACACAAGAAUUCAAAUGAAUCUAAAUAUGUUGACACUAGUCAGACAGUCCGAGCGGUGUCAAGAUAAAUGGAUUCCACAAAAUAUAGUGAAAAAAGUAUUUAAAAAAAAAAAAGUGAAAUGGUUUUGUUGUAUCCGCCAGUAAUAAUUUAAUGAAUGAAUGAAUUGAUUUGAAAGUCCCCCAUAAAGGAUAAAUAAGGUAGUGAUACUUUUACUAAAACUUGUGACUUUAUUUACUUCAUGUGCUGGUCCAUUUGUGACAUUAUAUUAUAGUUUCAUAGGCACCCCUGCACAUCUAAUGACUUCCGAUACAAGAGCUGUGCUCUAACAGCAGUUUUUUUGUAAUUACUUACAGUAUAUUUCCAUGCUUUUCCUUCUGCUGUGGACAGCUUGCUUUGUUUUGUUUGGAGGCUGUGUGUGUUUGUGUGCCGCACAGCAACAGUCGAUUGUAUUACGGAAGCCAUUUUUCUUACGCCAAGCCAUAUCUCACACGCAAACCCAAUCAUAGAAAUGAUGUCAUGCUAAUUAGAAUGGAUGUCGCUGUGUGAAGGAAGAGGGAGGAGGACUAUUUGUCUGUUUCUUGUCUGAGGCUGUCUGCCCGGCCGGCCGCACGCUCCAUCAUACUUUAAAUAUUCAUAGCAACCCCGCUGAAUAUGCAUGAGGCUGCCGUUAAUAUUUAUGAGUCUCACUUGUUGAGGUGUCAUUCCAUCUCUUUGACAUGCUGGAUGAUGAUUGGGGCGUUUAGUUGUGUUCACGUACACGCCCCACUGAUGCAUG